Molecule: small RNA, 124 nt
Filed under: Marmota monax (woodchuck)
Lineage: Eukaryota; Metazoa; Chordata; Mammalia; Rodentia; Sciuridae
Source: RNAcentral
GCCAGGUGUGGUGGUGCAUGCCUGUAAUCCCAGCAUCUUGGGAGGCUGUGGUAGAAGAAUCCUAAGUUCAAAGCCAGCCUCAGCAACUUAGCAAGGCUCUAAGCAACUUAGGACACUGCCUCUA